GAUGGACGCUGGCGGCGUGCCUAAUACAUGCAAGUCGAGCGAAUCGGGGACGGGUGAGUAACACGUGGAUAACCUCCUAUAAGACUGGGAUAACUUCGGGAAACCGGAGCUUACCCGGCUACUUAUAGAUGGAUCCGCGCUGCAUUAGCUAGUUGGUAAGGUAACGGCUUACCAGGGCCACGAUGCAUAGCCGACCUGAGAGGGUGAACGGCCAAACUGGAAUGGAGAAACGGUCCAGACUCCGACGGGAGGCAGCAGGAGGAAAUCUUCCGCAAUGGGCGAAAGCCUGACGGAGCCACGCCGCGUGAGUGAUGAAGGUCUUCGGAUCGUAAAACUCUGUUAUUAGGGAAGCGGUACCUAAUCAGAAAGCCACGGCUAACUACGUGCCAGCAGCCGCGGUAAUAC
Molecule: ribosomal RNA, 405 nt
Filed under: uncultured bacterium
Lineage: Bacteria
Description: partial 16S ribosomal RNA
Rfam family: Bacterial small subunit ribosomal RNA
Source: RNAcentral